GGAAGGGGCAAGGGGUUCACCCACUUUCACGAGUUUCAUAGGUUCAAGAGAUCCCACUAUAGAAGUGUCUAGCCGUUCGCCGAAGGAAGGGAUUCUUUAUCAAAGUCUCCGAAAGGCGCACUUAACCUCAUUCGAUGAUGGGGUUGGGGCAAUUGACCGAUCCUAAGCUAAAUCUAGCUCUGAUGGUGUGUCCGCGGGUCCCUUCCUCUCAACGUCUGAAAGAACACUCUAAUGGCAAGUCGGGCUAAUUCUAAUAUAGGGAUAGAAAAGGAAUUGGCAAG
This 281-nucleotide long non-coding RNA is filed under the name Nicotiana benthamiana. Its description in RNAcentral is "long non-coding RNA (NBEN_LNC008967)". The record is from RNAcentral. Lineage: Eukaryota; Viridiplantae; Streptophyta; Magnoliopsida; Solanales; Solanaceae.